RNAcentral lists this ribosomal RNA (253 nucleotides) under uncultured bacterium. RNAcentral's name for it is "partial 16S ribosomal RNA". It matches the Rfam family "Bacterial small subunit ribosomal RNA", at positions 524 to 776 of the family's 1533-position model. The record is from RNAcentral.
UACGUAGGAGGCAAGCGUUGUCCGGAAUUACUGGGCGUAAAGCGCGUGUAGGUGGUGGGACAAGUCUGCUGUGAAAUCUCCCGGCUUAACCGGGAGGGUGCGCCGGAAACUGGGGUGCUGGAGUUUGGGAGAGGGAUGCGGAAUUCCAGGUGUAGCGGUGAAAUGCGUAGAUAUCUGGAGGAACACCGGUGGCGAAGGCGGCAUCCUGGACCAACACUGACGCUGAGGAGCGAAAGCCAGGGGAGCAAACGGG